GGUGAGCCGGCCCCUAAGGCGAGGCCGAAAGGCGUAGCCGAUGGGAACCAGGUUAAUAGUCCUGGGCCCGCGGGUGGUGACGGAGUCGAAGCGUUGUCGGGGCUUAUCGGAUUGUCCCGGCGGCUGGAGGCUUCCAGGAAACAGCCCCCGCAUAUGGACCGUACCCGAAACCGACACAGGUGGACUGGUAGAGAAUACCAAGGCGCUUGAGAGAACGAUGCUGAAGGAACUCGGCAAAUUGCCCCCGUAACUUCGGGAGAAGGGGGCCCCGUGUCCGGGCAACCGGGCGCGGGGGGCACAGACCAGGGGGUGGCGACUGUUUACUAAAAACACAGGGCUCUGCGAA
RNAcentral lists this ribosomal RNA (346 nucleotides) under uncultured alveolate. RNAcentral describes it as "partial Bacterial large subunit ribosomal RNA". It matches the Rfam family "Bacterial large subunit ribosomal RNA", at positions 1378 to 1829 of the family's 2925-position model. The record is from RNAcentral.